CUGAGUUUGGGAGCGGGGGGUGGGGCGUGUGUGUGCACACGUCGGAGGUGUCUGUGUCCAUGCGUGUCCCCAUGCAUGUGCACUGUGUGUCCCCGUGCAGAUGGCAUGUGCUGUGCCUCCGUGUGUGCUGGGUGCCCGUCGGGGGGCAGGACAGGGUGUGGUGGGUGCGUGUCCCUUUGUGGGCUGCUUUUGCGUAGCCUCCAGCCCCACUGGCUCUUCAGGGGCAGCCCCAGCAGAAACAGCCGACUAGGUGGAAGGGGAAGAAGGUAAUCAAUGCACAAACCCCACAGUGUCACACGUGGGGGUUCAGCACCCUGCUGUUGCUCCAUCGGUAUUUAUGGUUUGCACUUCCUUAGAUUAGAUGAACAUUAGGGGCAAUUUCUCUUGUGAUUACUAAAAUAUAAUCUGAAAUCGCAGUCUUCUUUGGUACAAGGUGAUAAUAAUAAUCAGAGUUAGCAGAGAAAUGAAGUAGACCUUACUACAUUAGCAAGCAUUUAGGAAAACCUUAUGGCAGCUUCUUUGCUAACUCCAGCCAGGCAGUGGCUGCUCAGUAGCUGGUGAAACUGGACAGAGAAACUCUGAAUGUUUGUCCAUUCCUGGAGGUACCUCUGUGGCAGAGCUGGUGCUCCUGCCCCAUGUCACUGCUGGUGGCUUCCAACCAGAGUCCCAGGCAACCUUCUCCCAGCUCCAGUUCUCCCUAUUGGUAGCUCUUCUCUCAAUUUGGAGAGUGUUGGCAACAAGUGGAGGGGAGCUGAUCCCCCCCCCCCCCCUUGCAAGGGACUUUCCUCUUCUGUCGACCUUGCAGUUCCUGUUUGUUAUCAUCCCAGUACUGGAGCCCAGGCUGGCACAUCCCCUCUGCACAAAUCAUUGCUGUGUUUGCCUUCUGCUCCCUCCUUUGUUGCAUAAUUCAUAAUGAGGGAUUAAUGGAGCCUGCCCCCCCCUUCCUAUUUGCACACGAUCACAGGCUGCAUUUUUUUCAGAGCCAUUAGUUAUUCAUAAUGGUUUGCUGAGUAACGUCUGUGCUGCUCCUGGGGCUGCAGUUGGCUCCUGGUGAUUCAGCUCCUGCUGGACCUGGCACUGGCACUCUGGGCACUGCCUGCCUGGUGCCACCAUGCCAGGCUGCCAGCAUAAUGGGCAGGUGCUGCAAGUAUGAGAUGAGGUGUCUGAAACGGGAGAUUUUGGUUAAACAGGCAAUUGGGACUGAACAUCUCUCCUCCCUUGCUUUGUUUGGAGCAGGGGACAUGAAGGGGGCUUGGCUGAACUGUAGAGAUGCCUGGAAAGUGUCACUGUGUCAUCCCAGCUUUAACUCUACUGUCCCCAUGGAUUGAACUCUUGGGUCUGUGCUAGCAGAGGCACAAAUCUGUGUGUGGUCUGAGAUCUCCAAAACCUGACCGGUCAGGAGAGUGAGUGAGGCAGAGGCAGGCCUGGUGUCCCUGUUCUGUGUUCACAGGUGCUGAUCCCUCCCUGUCUCCUUGUAGGAGAAGCUGUUGUGGGGCCUGGAGGGCUGUGGCAGAGCCCUGGGCAUGGCCAUGCCUGGGCUCUCUAGACCAGCUCAGCUUUGCUGGCUGCUGGAGAGGGCCAGGGAGCAAAGGGCUCUCCGGGAUCUGCUGCUGCCUGUUAUCCUGGGGAGUUGGGUGCUUCUGGGAAGGGAACAGCCUCUGGGGAGCUCUGGGAUCUGCAGCAGCCCUGUCCUGCCUAUACAAAGCCACUGUGUCCACCUACGUCCAUCCUCAUCUUCCUUGCUGGCAUCUGUGCCAUCCCUGAGGAUGCCAUGGCAACCUGGGCUGCUGGAGGAGAAGCUGCAGUUCGGGUGCAAGUGCUUGGAGCCCUGUGUGCAGUUCUUGGUGCUGCAGCACUGGCCUGGGCAGGUUUGGGGGCUGUGAGAUGGGGUCCAGACACUCCACCAGCCUGGAGGUGCUGCUGGUGUGCGCGGGGCCAUGGUGCUUUCUCCUGGGAGGUGACACAACCGGGACACCGAGGUAAACAGCAGAGAUGCUGAGUGCUUCGUUGGGUCCACGGCAGCGUCGUCUCCCCUCAGACUGGGUGUUGGCCGCUCUCGUCAGUCUGUUGCAGCUUCCUGAAGCUAUCGUUAGGGUCUGCCCCAGCUCAGGGGAGGAGGGAGCUGCUUCCAGAUGCUUGUUGGGACAGCACUGGGUCUGUCUGGUUUGCGUGGGGUGCGGCUGUGACCCCCGGGCGUGGGCUGUAGCGAUGCUUCGGGAGGUGGGGGCUGAGGGACAGGCUCAGGGACAGGAUGGUGUCGGGCGAUCCCUGCUCCGGCUGCUCAAACGCCCCGCAAGGGGCUGCAGUGGCUGAGCCCGUGGCUUGGUGGAGCCUGGUGCAGCUCCUGGGGAAGGGGCUUCUCCCACGGCACCGGCCCCGGGACCAGCGGGGGGCACAGGUGCACCGUCUCGUUGCUCCACCGGCCUCGGCUAAACCGGGGCCGCGAGGCUGGUGCUAUUUCGGGUGUUUUGCAGCGCAGCCGGGGAUCGUCCCGCCCCCCGCCGGGGGCUGCCGGUGCCGCUAUUUCUGCCGCUAUUUCUGCAGCUCCUCCGCGCGCAGCCGCUUUUUAUACACGCGCCGGGACGAGCGCGGGUGGCGGGGGAGGUUUUGGAGCUGCCGUUUCGGGGGGGCAGCAGCUCUGCCCCCUGCGCCCCAGCUGGGGCACGGCCUGUGUCCUCUGACCCGCGGGGGGUCCGAACGCCCGGCACGGGGCAGCCGGGGGGGGUCGCAAGCACCUCAGUGUGCUGGUAACUCGCUGCAGUCUGGUCCCAUGCUCUGCUGCUCCAGGAGGAUGCUGCGGGGGUGUGUUACUAACUAGGGCUGAUGAUGGGUUCCUGCAGCAUCCUCAGGUUUUCCCUGCAGCCCUGAGCAGGGCUGAAGCCUGUUGCAGGUUGGUAUCUGCUUUAAUUUUGACCCUGAUUCCUCCUGUUGGAAAAAUGAAGAAGGUGACUGCUCUGGUGUCCUGCAGCAUCGCCCCUCAGCAGGGGCAAAGCUCUUCAGGGCUGGAGGGGGUGUCCAGGGUGACCUGCACCCUUCUUUUGCUCUGGCAUAGCCAUAAUCGAGCCCUUCUCAUGUCCCUGGGAAGCUGUGGCCCCUGGAACUCCAAGUCUGGACACUGUGGUGUAGCAGGGAUGAAUCCUGGGCAUGGGCUUGCUCUCUCCAGUUCUGGAACUUGUGGGCCCCAGACCCUCCCUGGACUGGACGACCUCAACAUUUCCCUUCUUGCUUUUGGGAGCACCCCAGCUCUAAGCCUCUCCUGCCCAGAGGAUGAAGAGCAGCAGGGCUGGAUGGGAGGCCUGUGGGUACUCCUGAGAUCUGGAAUGCUGCUCGCCUCCUCCCACCAGCCAAUCUGCCCCUCUCUGCUGGACUCACUGGUCUUCCCAGGCCAGGGUGUCCCACAGGGAUGGGUUAUCCCCAGCCACAGAGGGGCUAUGUCCAAAGCAGCAGCCUCCUGUCCCACCUUACUGGGAUGCAGCUUCUACAGAGCAUCUGGUGAGCAGGGCUCAGGUCUCCAUGGCAACCAUGGGGUACAAAUAGUGCAGCAGCUCUGAGGAGCUGUUGGGGCUGUGAGCUCCUGGGAUAGGCGUUUGAGGGCACAGGGGUCACUGGGUGCAGGGCUCACUGUGCUGCUGGGAUCUGCUGCCUGCAUCAGGGGCUGUCAGUGCCCAAGGUGAGCAGGGCAGGGGGCUCAGGGUGUGGGGUUUGGGAUGUGGGGCUCAGGACACAGUGCUUCCUCAUCUUCCCCCAGCAGGAUGAUUGGUACAUUCCUUCAUUUUCCAUCUGCAAACAAAGCAGGAAGCAGCAUCUGGACAGAACAAGCAGAAUUCAGGAGCAGGGAUCCUGGAGCCAGCCCUGUACAACUGCAGCACUUUGCCCUGCCCUGGGGAUCCUGGUGCCUUUCUCCUCUGAUCCACAUCUGGGGUGGGAGCAAAGUUUAAACCUCCCUGUAAGUGAGGAGUGUUUGGAGAUGGGGGAGAUCUGGGUCACUCUCCAUCCUCUGCUCAAUGUGUGGUGCAUUAAUUAGGCUUUGACUCUAAUGAGUUGUGUUAUGCUCUGAAAAUAGAACUGCCACUGUUAUGUGUCGCCCGGCAGCCAGUGCUGCUCAUUGUCUAAUUACCAGGUGAUAUUUUGCACAAUUAACUCGAUGUGCUGGUCCUCGGGUAACUGUGAUUUCCAUCCCUGGGAUUCAAGGACCUGGGGUAUGGCAGAGGGUGGGAUGGGAGCUGGUGGGCUCAGGGGAUGCUGUGCCAGGGGUCAUCCCCCUAGCUUGGAGCAGGCAUGGAGCUGCCCAGAAAAUCCUUCCUUUUCCCUCUCCUUUUGCACGUGGGCCACAGGUAAUGUGGGAAUAUGUUUUGAAAACAGCUGGAAAAGCAUUUGCAAACCUUCUCCUCUCUUUACAAAGCUGUGUGCUGGGGGGACCACCUUUCCUGGGAGGUCCCAGAGACACACCUCCCCCCCUCACCUGUCCCUGCGUCCCUGCCCCGCUGUCCUCACUCCUCUCCUGGCUCCCUCUUUCUCAUCCCCACUCUUGGAGGUUGGCAUCACAACACACCUCUCUCGUUGUGCCUUUCCAUCCUUUUUUCUUUGGCAUCUGGACACUCUCACACCUCCAGGCUGUUGUGGUUUUUUUUUUUUUUCCCCUCUCAGUUGCACUCUAGCAGAUCAUCAGAGAAGCUCUUUGGAUGGGAAGGCAGGGAACGUGCUCUGUGCCAGGCUGGAAAACCGCAGAACCUGGGAGGAGCGAGGCGGGGGAAGCUGAGGACAGCUGCAGCUCUGCUCCAUCUCGCCGUGGGUGUCCCAUGUCCCACCAGCUGUCAUGGUAAUGCCACCUGCUCUGAGCUCCUGGAAUCCACAUGGCACCGUGGCUUCCCUGCUCCUGACCGAGGAACUGCUUUUGCCCAGAGCAAAGGGUUAAGAGCUGAACAAGAUCAUUUUAACUCCCUGCUGCAGUAACCACCAAACACAGAAGGAUUUUUGCCCCUGACCAAUUUCCUGCUUCUCAGCGGGGCUGCCCUGCCCUGGGGACUGCACGGAGCUCACGUGUCCCAUCACUGUACUCAUGCUUUCUGCUCUGUGGGGACUGAGGCCAUGAGCUGGCACCCAUGUUUCAUCCCUAUCUACUGCUGAACUCCCAUUCCAAGCAUGUUUUGUGCUCCAGGCACAUGUCCUGGUCCCUUGGGAGCAGAUGGCCCAGUGCUGCUCACCCCCUUGGACAGUGUGUGCUGAGCUGCAGCAGUUGAACACAGUGCUGGGGGUCUUGGCUUUCCUGGCAGCGCAGAUCCUUGCACCAGCUGCGGUCGGCGCGGGCUGCGAGCACUGGCCUCUGCAAUCAGUUACAGUGCAGAAGCUGGGCUGGAAAAGUGAUAAGGAGACGAGAGUGGCCUCAGGAGACGUCUUCCCCCACCCCCUAAAACCCGAGAGCAGCAAACGCAAGCAGCAAGUUAGACGGGUAACACGUGAAAUCAAGGUCGGGACAUCACCGGCUGCCUCUUCUCCCUGGUCGGCACCGUCUGUGGGAUCCGGGCGAGAAGGCGCCGGGGUUUUGUGCGGGCGAGGGCGGGCGGUGCGGCGCUGGGACAGUCCUGGGGGUGCGAGUGUCCCCUGCCCGCGCCGAGCCCCAGCCUGCCUGCGCUGCCCCAGCCCCUGCCCGCGCCCCGGGGGCUGCCUCUGCUCUCCCCUCAACCCGGACACUCCCCAUUCACUAAUUUCAUAACUUCAGUCCCCUCCCUGCGGGGUGGGACCGUCCCCCUGGGGCUGAGCCCGGCACCCCGGGGCGGGUGGGGACCUGCCCAACGCCGGAUUAAGCUCUAUAAAUCGCGGGGUUUCGGCUGGGCUGAUUCAUCUGACGCUGCAGAAAGGCACCAACAGCCGCCGUGGUGCUGCUGGGGGACGCAUCAGCACUGGUUUCAGCCCUGUUCCCCCAGUUCCUGCUGCCUGCCCUGGCUGCUAUGGAGGCUGUUGAGUGCCAGCCCAUCCUGUGCCCCCCCUCCCCGCAGCACUGUCCCCCCGCUCUCCUCCCAGGAGCAACUCCUGCCCUUCCACGUCCUUGAGGGCUUCAUCCUGGUGUGGGGGCUCAGCUGUGGCACCAGGCAGGGAGAGGGUAAUAGCACAUGGGGGGGUUGAAUGGUGCCUUUUGGGGAGCCAUGGUGGGAAUCACCUCUGCAUGGCUGGCACUGGUGAUCCCCAGUGCUCAGUGAUGCUGGUGAAUUUGGUGCAGUGGAUGGCACUGGGCUGGAUUGUGGGACUCCCCACAAGUACAUUUGGGCUGCAAUGAGGCCAAAUUCCACCCAGGUCCCAAAGCUGUGCCCUGGAGCAGAUGUUUCCUGGACGUGGGACUGCAGGGAUUGGUAGAGCCCUCACUGGUGCUGUGGGGCUGGCACAGCCAGCUUUUAUGUAGUUUCUCAGGUGAAGACCAGUGAGUCCUGGGAACUUCAACACAGGACCCUAACCUGCAAUCCCGUGACCCUGAGUCUGGGGCAGCUCCAGCUUGAAUUUAUUCUCUUCUCGGUCCAGGUUUAUUCACAACUUUAACAACAAGAGAUGGCGACAGUGCUGGCAGCACCGUCACAGCUUGCAGCCUCCUCCCUGAUGGAGAGCACCAGGACAUCCUCUUUGUCACUCAGCUUUCCAGAAGAAUGAAAAUUGAAUAAAAGAUCAAAGUUCAGUGAA
Apus apus (common swift) is the source of this 6669-nucleotide RNA transcript. RefSeq lists it as uncharacterized. The transcript is spliced from 6 exons. The record is from RefSeq and is a predicted model, not a curated record. Lineage: Eukaryota; Metazoa; Chordata; Aves; Apodiformes; Apodidae.